Meriones unguiculatus (Mongolian gerbil) is the source of this 3346-nucleotide long non-coding RNA. RefSeq lists it as uncharacterized. The transcript has 4 exons. The record is from RefSeq and is a predicted model, not a curated record. Lineage: Eukaryota; Metazoa; Chordata; Mammalia; Rodentia; Muridae.
CCUUGGGACACCACAGCUUUUGCAAGAGGCUGGCUUUGGGGAGCCAUCCCGGUAAAACCCGGAAGCUGCUGCUCCUUGGUGGUUCUCAUCUCAUCCCAGCUGUCAAGACAGCUGGUUGAAUAAUACUUAAAUAAAAUGUUCUGAGUAUGGCUAUAUGCUGAGUCUUGCUAGUGAAUCACUGAGCCAUGGACACAAUACGACAGCCAGCUGACAGAGUGAGGACUACAGGUUCUCUAGUGCGCUCACUUCUCCAAUGCUGGGGAUUUUACAGUAUUCGUGUGUGGGGAGCCAGAGGACAACCUCAGUCAAUCCUCAGGGUAAAGCAUUAUUUCCUGCUGAAGAUAAAGUGAUCCAAGGAAAGAAACAGAAUACCACCUUGAGCCUCUGAAACUGCUGCUGUCCCUGCACUGGUGCGACUGGUGGGGCUGGAUGGGCAUGGCUCUGGACCACCUGGCCUCCAUGAGGCUGGACAGCUGUUGGAUGAUGAUGACUGCUAUGAACUGAUGCUAUGGUGGGUCCAUGACUACCAGAACUUUGUGGCACAGCUGAAACCUAGGGUGAACAAAAUACAGAAAAAUUAAGGCUUGUGCAUUCUUCCCCAAAUGCAUCUAGAGAAAUAACACAAAUGCCCAAAGCAUGUAUUUCUGCAGGCAUAAACACAUUAAGAAAAGAAAAAGGGAAUUAAUGAUGUUACAGCCCAUGUAAAUUUAAUGUUUUACAUAUAUUAAAAAUCAUUCAAAUUAAGCUGGGCAGGGUGGCACUUUUUUUUUAUCCCAGCACUAGGGAAGCACAGGCAGGCACAUCUCUGAGUUUUAGGCCAGCCAGAUCUGUGUUAUGAGUUCCAGGACAGCCAGAGCUAUAUAUUGAGACCCUGUCUCAAAAUGUAAUAAUAAUACCAAUAAUAAAUUUCUAGAACACUUCUGUUCUCCUAUUUCAAAACUGUUAAUCAAAGCCAAAAGUGGGAGAUCAUGCCUAUAUUCUCAGCAUUUAAAAAACUAAAGUGGCUCUGAGUUUGAAGUCUACCAGGGCUGGGUAGUGAAUUCCAUGCCAACCUGAGCUACAGAGGGAGAGCUUCUCUCUAAAACCAAAAACAAGAAAAUGGUGAUGGUGGUGGGUACUGUUUUAAUAGCAGUAUAGCUGACUGCUUCAUCCCCACAUAAGGAACUUGAACACUGUGAAUUUUACUUUCUCUAAGCAGUAUAAAUCAUACACCUCAACUUAGAGAAUAAUAAAGCUUUUCACAAAUCCUCACAAAUUUAUAAAAAUUAACUUGAGCAAGGGAGAUAGAAAUAAAGCAACUAUAUGUAAAAUUAGAUAUAAAAUUUAAGAGACUGGAUAAGAAAAUAUUUAAGAAGCUGGAAGUGUGGCUCAGUUCACAGGAAGCCUUGGGCUCCAUCUCCAAAACUCAAACAUGAUGUGCUAAUACUGGGCUGUAGUCUUCACAGCUGACAGACAGAGAGACCAUCACAGCAAAUUCAUGGACCAUCUGGGCUACAACCUUAUGACCUUAUAUAAAAAAACGAAAGAAAAAAAAUUAAAUGAAUUCUACAAAUGGUAAUAAAAAUUAAAAUAAAAACCAAGUGUGGUAGUACAUGCCUUUAAUCCUAACACUCGGAGGCAGACAGGCAGCCUGAUCUAUACCAAGAUUUCCAAGCCAGCCAGGGCUACACCGUGCGUAAGAGGCUGACUUAAAACAACAACAACAACAACAACAACAACAAAACAAAACAAACAAACAAAAAAAACCAAACAGGGGCAGGGGGCCCUGGGGAGCAUUAGAAACCAAAUUAAGUUUAAAAAUUAAAGCCAGGUGGUGGGGUGGCUCAAGCUUGUAAUCCCCAGCACAGCCAUGGCUACACAGAGAACCUGUCUUGAAAAACAAAAUUAUACAGUAAAAUAACAUUUUAAAAUAAAAAAUGAAGAAAGUAGCCAGGCAGCUGGCUCGCUGCAAGUUCAACGUCAGUCUGGGCUACAAAGUUAGUCCAAGACAGCCAAGGCUACAAAGAAACCCAGUCUCAGAGAGGAGAGAAAAAAAAAAAAAAAAAAAAAAAAAGUACCUCUAAUUUGAGAUAUUAAAUUAAUAACAAAGAAAGGUCAGGGGUGUGGGUUAGCAGUAGAACACUUGCCUGACACAAACAAUGCCCUGGAAUCAAUCUCAACUAACACAAACACGUGAGGCAAAGUGACAUGCCCUAUAACACAACUGAAAGGCAGGAGGACAGAAAACCUCAACGCUGUCUGGGCUAUGUAACACGGCUCUAUUUUAUUAAAGAGAGAACAGCCUUUGAGGAGUGAGCACAACGAGAAGGAAGACGAGGGGACCUAGCAAGGAGAGGAGGAGAAGGCAGCAGGCAAGGCCAGAGACCUUCAGAGGUCAGGGCAGGACUUUUGACUUGCUGUCACUGCUUUACACUUAGUUGGCGUCUUACAGUUGGACUACCACAUGCACACAUUAUCAUCGUGGGAAUUUUUUCUUAGGUAGUUCUGUGCUUUAUAAAAGUCACUUUCCAUGUGUGAAACCACCAUGCUAUCCGUUCCUCCUGCUCUCUCAGCCCGCUCCAGCUUACCUGGUAGUUGGGUGCCACUGAGUACUGAAUGCCUGUAGCUGACUGCAUGGUCUCAGACACUGCUUCAUACACAGGAGGGGCAGGGGCAAGUACCCGGUGCUGGUGAGGAAACGCCUCUGUGCUUCCAGGAAUCCUUCGCUGCUGGGCUGCAUACACCGGUGACUCCUGGUCAUCCAAACGGCGCUUCAUUCUGCACUCAUGCUCAGGGAUGCACUACAAAACCUGUACAAAACAGAGACACAAAAAUAGUAUCCCACGCCAGCAUGACGCAAAUAACUUAGGAUCAGCCACCCAAAUUUAACGUAAGCCUGACUUCCAGAACUGAUUGCCUAGCACUAGUCACUGAAUAGUUUACACACACUUUACACUGAACAAGUUAGAACUGAAAAAAAAGGCUAAGGAACAGUGUGUUCAUCAAUUUGGUAACACUAAGUUGAAAAAAACCCACAACUUUAAAAUCUUCUUUUCUAUUUCCUCUCCUGUGGCGGUUUCGAUGACAAUGGCCCCCGUAAGUCAUGUAUUUGAAUAUCUAGUUCCUAGCUGGUGAACAGUUUAGGAAGAAUUAGGUGUGGCCUUGAUGAAGUCACUGGAAAUUUCAAAAGCCCAUACCAUUAACAGUUAGCACCCCCAACCCAGACUCCUGGUUGCAUCUCAACAUUUAAUCCCUCAGAUACUAUCCGGCACCAUGCCUGCCUGCUGCCAUGAUCCUGGCCAUAAUGUUCAUGGAUACCCUCUGUACCAUAUGGAAGCCCAAUUAAAAGGUUUUUUGUUUGUUUGUU